AUCAUUAACUGAAUCCAUAGGUUAAUGAGGCGAACCGGGGGAACUGAAACAUCUAAGUACCCCGAGGAAAAGAAAUCAACCGAGAUUCCCCCAGUAGCGGCGAGCGAACGGGGAGGAGCCCAGAGCCUGAAUCAGCAUGUGUGUUAGUGGAAGCGUCUGGAAAGGCGCGCGAUACAGGGUGACAGCCCCGUACACAAAAGCGCAUGUGUUGUGAGCUCGAUGAGUAGGGCGGGACACGUGGUAUCCUGUCUGAAUAUGGGGGGACCAUCCUCCAAGGCUAAAUACUCCUGACUGACCGAUAGUGAACCAGUACCGUGAGGGAAAGGCGAAAAGAACCCCGGCGAGGGGAGUGAAAAAGAACCUGAAACCGUGUACGUACAAGCAGUGGGAGCACCCUUUUGGGUGUGACUGCGUACCUUUUGUAUAAUGGGUCAGCGACUUAUAUUCUGUAGCAAGGUUAACCGAAUAGGGGAGCCGGAGGGAAACCGAGUCUUAAUUGGGCGUUAAGUUGCAGGGUAUAGACCCGAAACCCGGUGAUCUAGCCAUGGGCAGGUUGAAGGUUGGGUAACACUAACUGGAGGACCGAACCGACUAAUGUUGAAAAAUUAGCGGAUGACCUGUGGCUGGGGGUGAAAGGCCAAUCAAACCGGGAGAUAGCUGGUUCUCCCCGAAAGCUAUUUAGGUAGCGCCUCGUGAA
This 697-nucleotide ribosomal RNA is filed under the name Salmonella enterica subsp. enterica serovar Oslo. Its description in RNAcentral is "partial 23S ribosomal RNA". It matches the Rfam family "Bacterial large subunit ribosomal RNA", at positions 150 to 888 of the family's 2925-position model. The record is from RNAcentral. Lineage: Bacteria; Pseudomonadati; Pseudomonadota; Gammaproteobacteria; Enterobacterales; Enterobacteriaceae.